AAGAGAGAGCACGUCCAGAACACGCCAGAGACUGUCUCUUCCUGGUUUGCAAACUCAUACCACUAGUAAAGCUCCUUUCUGCUAUUUAGCUAUCCUGGUGGUCUUUUGGGCAACAUGCUUAUCUGGGAAGAGCUGUCUUGUAAUCUCUGUGUCUGCAUCAGACUCUGCCAGCCCUAGAUUGGGAGCUCUGAGAUGACAUAGGCUGCGUCCCACCCCAGCAGCAGCAUGCAAGGUUGGGGACACAUGUGAGGGUGUGUGGUGCAGCCCUGAACAGCCUCAGGCAGACUCCCUGUAUUCUUGUUCCCAACCUCCUCCCUCCCUAGGUCAAAAGGCUGUGGCAGGAGGCCAGGCAGAUCACAGCGUCCAUGCCUAGAUGCUCCCUGACCCCCAGGAACCAGAAGUGCUGUCUCCUGAAGGCUCUGGAAACCCGGAAUCAGCCUACGAGGCACCAGGGCCACCUUGGAGGGUGGAAAUGAGGACCUCAGGCCCCAGAGGGCAUGCAGGCGAGGUGAAGUUCAGGAGAGCCAGGAAGUGUCCCCCUCUUCCCGGCCUGCUGUAUCCCAGGACACAGGGCCCACGCUUUCCUCAACUGUCCCUUCCUUGUGGGAUGCAAGAGGCCACGGCGAGCGAAGGCAUGUGCCAAGAGCUGCCACUCAAUGUGAGUCAGCGUGCUGGUCCUCCCUCCUUUUCUCCAGGGGGCCUAGGACUUUUGGGGGGAGCCUGAGGACAUGCUUCGCUGAUGUCACUGUGUGGAGUGUACAAAUGGCCACCCUGCUGCUCGUUGGUUCUAUAUGGGCAUCCAGGCUGGAGAGCAGGGGGUGGGGAGAUGGAGAUGCCACCAGCAGGGGACUGGUUCCUAGAAGAGAGGGCGAGUUUGGGUGGUCCCAGAGGUGUUCUUCCCAGAAAAGAGAGCAGGAGGCAGGAGGUGGGCAUGGAGAAUGUGGAGGGGGGCAUUGACAGUGUUCUCCACCACCCAUCAGAUAAGACCUGGAGCCUCAUUACCAAAGACUUAAUGAGAUUCGCUUUGUUUUCUUAUGAGCCAGGCAAGGUGCCAGGGGAAGCGGCUUCCAGCCCCAGGCUCUGCAGCUGGCUGCUGUGUGACCCAGAGCCAGGCACCACACCUCUCUGGGCCUUAGACUCCUUAUCCAUGAGCUUCCUGCCUGCACCCUAACAUUCAGUGUCAUUGGCCGAGUUACCCAAUGGCUCCCAGCCUCAGUUUCUUCAUCUGCACAUUAGGGAUAAGUACAGCCAUCCACCUGGGAGGUGUCAAGGGGGUGUGGCCGCAGCACCCAGCCCAUGCACAAGUUCAGUGAUCAUUACCUGUCUCCCCCAGCCCUGCCUGAGUGCCAGGAUCAGCAGGCUUGGGAAGGGGGAGCCCCCAGGGAUGUGGAAAGUGGAGAGGGAGCACAUGGGCUCUGGGGCCUCGGGGCUCCUGGGCUCUGUUCUGCCUGUCUGGGAGCUGUCUCCUGCUCUCCCUUGCAGUGUCUCUGUCUCUCUUCGUUCUGUUCCUCCCUCUGUCCUUCAGUUUUUCCCUCUCCAUCUCAGUCUCUGGUUGUCUCAGUCUCUCUUUGCACCUCACUGUCUCUGCCUUUCUCUGCAUCUCUCUUCCUUUCCUGGGCUCUCUCUCUCUCUUUCAUCCCUGUUUUGGGCUUUCUCUGUCUGUGUCUCUCUGUUUUUCAGUCUGCUUCUUUCUGUCUCCGUUCAUUUCUCUGUAUGUCUUUGUCCCCUGCACUCCCAUUCUCCUCCCAUGCUGUCCUCUCUGGGGGCUCCUCUGGCUUCACUGGGCCACAGGCCCAGGCUGGGGUGUGAAGAAGCAGGAGCUCCCCCGUCAGAUGACGCUAGGUGCCCCAGUCAGGGCAGUGGGGGCCAGACAAAGAGCUCUGCGAGGGGUGGCAAAAUCCUCUUCCCAGGGAAGGGAAUGUGGGGGCUACUGGCCAGCUGUGGGAUGGGUGGCUGAGAACUCUCAUACCACUGUAAAUUCUAGAUGUUUUUCACUUAUAUCAGCUUCCUGAUCCCCCUGAGCCAAAGGCCUAGAAGGUCCCUGUCCCUGUCCUUUUGGAAUGUGCAGUCUUACUUACCAGAGUGACAAGGGGAACAGAGUUGAAACAGGUGGUUUCCCAGCACAGGAGCCUGUGGGGGCUGCUUAGAGAACAGCACAUUCCCUGGGAGCCAGAGCCAUCUGGGAGGGCUUUCUGGAGGAGGCAGAUCAUGAGGGAUCAGGAUGGGGACUAAUAUGUGCUGAGUGCCUGGUGGUGCUUUAUAAGUAUCAGCAGAUUGGGAGAUAAGCAUAGCCACCCUGUGGAGACACCUGGGAGGUGUCAAGGGGCAUGCAUUGUAAAGGCCCAGAGUGGUGAAGCAUCCACCAGCUGGUAAGUGGUAGCCUCGGGUGGGGCCUGUCGCUGUCCCCAUGCUCUGUCCACUACUGGUGUGGCUUGCCCCACUUGUGACCAUCGUUUCUUCCCCUCCACCCCCAGUGCCACUUCCUCUCUCCCUCGUUGUAGGGGAAAGAACAUGGGCUGUGUGGCCUUGGACCAAUUGCUUGCCCUCUCUGGGCCUUCUUAUUGGUGACAGACAGACUGGUGACUUUCUGAGAGGAUCUAUGCAACCUCAGGCUCCUGCACCUGGGUUACAGGGUCUUCUGGAGGGGAAGAGAUGAGCAGCAAGGACAAUAGCAGUGCUCCCUUCCCGGGUCAGUUGCAAGGAUUAAGGAUGAUGUCUGCAAAGUGCUUAGUCAGAGCCGGCAUACGGUAAGUGCUCAAUAAAUGCUGGCUCCCAUUAUUAGUAUCCCUUCCCUCCACGCCCUCAACACAUCCCUUUAUCAUGAUGGAAUAACCAAUUGCCUGGUAACAACAUGUUCACACUUCCACGCUCCCCAUCAACCAUGCUCACCUAUAAGGCAGGCUGCGACCAGCUCCUCUUCAUCUAUUCAUUGCCUGGCCCAUGCUAGGGGCCCAAGAAAUGUCUGCUGCAUCAACGAGUGAUUUUGGGAAAGGUGCUGAGCCCUUCUGUCCCAUGAAGUUCUUGCGAGACAGUGUCUCACCAGCAACCUGGAUCGUGAGAACCACAGCGGGUGGGCCAGAUCUAGAUGGAGAGUGUCCAUUGGGCAGAGCUGCUUCUGUGAAAGGAAAGGAAGUUUUUCAAGAAACCAUGAGGGGGGCCCAAGAAUCCAAGUUUCUAACUCUGGGAUCGGUUUUCUGUCUUUUACCUCGGUUUGCCUCUCCCUAGCUGUGUGGUUUAUGGCAAGUCACUCUGUGCCUCUGUCUCCACGUGUUCAAGGAGGCAGCCGGUCCAAGGGGCCUUCAUAGAAGGGGCUGCCGAGAUGUGAGCCCUGCAUUGGGGGGAUGCCCCACAGAGGUGCUGUCCCCCAUCCCCUUUCCAGGGAACUCACAGCGAAAUCUACCAACCAAAGAGGAUGUCCAUACCUGUCUUUUUCUUUCUUCCUUCAUUUUUUGACUUAAUUUCCUCACUUGAAAAAAAAAAAUAAAACACCUUAUUCAGGGUAUACUUUAUGGGCAGUCUUAAUUUUUUUUAUUAGGAUGUGGGAUGUAAAUCCAUAAAAGAAGUAGAAGUGCUGAGCCUUCCUGUGGAGUGGGUGCUGGAGGGGAAAAGGUGGAGUUAGGGGAGGGAAGGGGAGGGCAGGAAGGUUGGUGAUGGGCAGAGAUUCACAGAGACUCCCAGGUCAGGGAGCAAUCCCCCAGUCAGGGCAGCAGGAAUGCCCAGAGGAAUUCUGAUCGGGACAGACGUCGGGCACUGAAUGAAGAGAGGUCCCUCAGGGGCCUGGUCUCAGGGGCCUUGAAUUCCACGCAAAGCGUGUCUUGAGCAUCAACUAUAUGCCAGGCACCUUUUACAUAUAUUAUUUCUUACUUCUAAAUUAUUCCAGAUUUUAAGCCGGGUGCAGUGGCUCACGCCUGUAAUCUCAGCAUUUUGGGAGGCCAAGGCAGAUGGAUAACCUGAGGUCAGGAGUUCGAGACCAGCCUGGCUAACACGGUGAAACCCCGUCUCUACUAAAAAUACAAAAAUUGCCUGGGUGUGGUGGUGCAUGCCUGUAAUCCUAGCUACAUGGAAGGCUGAGGCAGGAGGAUUGCUUGAACCUGAGUGGCAGAGGUUGCAAUGAGCUGAGAUUGUGCCACCGAGCUCCAGCCUGGACUACAAAGUGAGACUCCAUCUCAAAAUAAUAAAUAAAUAAAUAAAUAAAUCUAUCAAUCCAGAUUUUACCAAUUAGGAGACUGAGCCUCAGAGAAGUUAAAUCACUUGUCCAGAGCCCUGAAAUUGGAGAAGCAGCUGCGCUCAGACUGGAACCCUAGAUGGUAGGGCCCCUUAGUCCUCCUUUAUCUUGGGGGGAUCCAGGGAAGGCUUUUCAGCAGGGGAAUGAUGCAAUUGGAUACACAUGUCAGGGGGAACAUGACUGCUUGUGGCAAGGAACGCAGUAAGCCUGGG
Molecule: long non-coding RNA, 4437 nt
Filed under: Homo sapiens (human)
Lineage: Eukaryota; Metazoa; Chordata; Mammalia; Primates; Hominidae
Description: non-protein coding lnc-PADI1-1:12
Source: RNAcentral